AACGAACGCUGGCGGCAGGCUUAACACAUGCAAGUCGAGCGCCCCGCAAGGGGAGCGGCAGACGGGUGAGUAACGCGUGGGAACGUACCCUUUACUACGGAAUAGCUCUGGGAAACUGGAAUUAAUACCGUAUGUGCCCUUCGGGGGUAAGAUUUAUCGGUAAAGGAUCGGCCCGCGUUGGAUUAGCUAGUUGGUGGGGUAAAGGCCUACCAAGGCGACGAUCAAUAGCUGGUCUGAAAGGAUGAUCAGCCACAUUGGGACUGAAAAACGGCCCAAACUCCUACGGGAGGCAGCAGGGGGAAAUAUUGGACAAUGGGCGCAAGCCUGAUCCAGCCAUGCCGCGUGAGUGAUGAAGGCCUUAGGGUGGUAAAGCUCUUUCACAGAUGAAGAUAAUGACGGUAGUCGGAGAAGAAGCCCCGGCUAACUUCGUGCCAGCCCCGCCGUAA
Molecule: ribosomal RNA, 446 nt
Filed under: uncultured bacterium
Lineage: Bacteria
Description: partial 16S ribosomal RNA
Rfam family: Bacterial small subunit ribosomal RNA
Source: RNAcentral